GAUCUGGAUGGGAAAGAUAUGAGAUAUCUACUGAGAAAGUUCCCCAAAAUGCCCUUGCCUUUCCUUGCCAUGCGUUCAAGUUUCAGCGUCUCCAUAUGGAUCUUCUCUCUUCAACGGUCGAUGAUCAGAACCUUUUCUCCUUAUCGAUCGACGAUUUUAGCCACUGCACCCGUACCUAUCGAAGAUAUCUUCUCAUCAGAUCGUUAAACCUAAUGAACUAUUUCGUAUAAUCAUCUCAAUCCAUUGUAAACACAAACUGAUUAUCGAUUCGUCAUCCUCGAUUUGAUGCCAUAUGACUUCUCCAGCCAUUGAAUUCUUAUAAAUGUCGUCUGAUUCUUAUCAUCACCAGAUAUGGAGAGUUGAAGACCAUGGAGUUGUCUUCUUCAGAAGUCAUGCGGGUCUGUUUAAAUUUUACAAAAAAAAACAUGUAUUUGUUACUGAGGUGAAAUAGCUUGGAUGUAACUACUAAACCAUUUUGUUGCGAAGAUUAUGAAGAAGACAAUUGAAGAUUGUUAUUUUAUGUUUAAAAUGACGGAUUUCGGAAACCAUUUGGGUUUAGAACUUUAUUAUUUUGAAGCAAUUUUGAUUAUUUGUUAUUAGAACUUGUGUUAAUAUGAAAAUUUUAAAUAACUUUUUAAUAAAAAUGUUAAUUUUGAA
Long non-coding RNA from Lactuca sativa (garden lettuce), 657 nucleotides. RefSeq lists it as uncharacterized. Lineage: Eukaryota; Viridiplantae; Streptophyta; Magnoliopsida; Asterales; Asteraceae. The record is from RefSeq and is a predicted model, not a curated record.